UAAUAGUGUGAAUGUCUACAAACUAAGGAUUCUCAUUAGCUGUAUCUUGUCAAUCGGUUUUAUCUUUUGAUCAGCUCAAUGCAAUGUGAUAUAGAGGACAAAAAUCUGGAAAACAACUUUCACUUUUAUGAUGUACUUGGAGUGGAAGCAACAGUUAAACAGUAGAGCCUGUGAGAGGAAGUCAAUUACAUGGUUCAGUUUGAAAACCCUUUUUUAGCACAUAUUCCUUUCAAAAAGAGACUCACUUGUAGACAGCGCUGGGCAUGUAAAAUACAUAACUAAGGGGACUGGUGUGGUGACCUGAGUCCUCUUAGUAAUGUACACUGCAGCAGUACUUCAGGUUACACCAUCACGCAGAUGUGGCUGCAAGUUGUGAAACCCCAGUCACCCAUGGCUGCCUCUAGCUCGGUGUAAUGAGAUAUAAAUAACCACUGGUUUCCUAAUCUGGUUGUUAUAGAAACCUUCCCCCCAUAUUAUUUAAACACCUUGUUAAAAGUAGUUGUGCUGCUUUUGUGAAGCGGUUAGGUUUUGGCAUAACAGGGUCACACACAGAUCCACAGAGAGCAGAAAAAUAGUAUUGAAUUUAAAACAGAUCAACCAGCAUUUAAAGAUCUUGCAUUUAAGUAGCUUGCUGUAAAUCUUCAGUCCACAUUUACACCUAGUAUUUUUUUUUUUUAAUUCUUUCUUGAAAAAGUAAAGUAAGACAUGCUAGGCAGAAGAGAAAGCAGAGGCAUGUUUCUGCUCAGCCAUUUGCUGCUCUGUAUGAUGGAGCUGCAUUGGCUCCAUCCAGCUGGCAGCACCUUCACUUGAACCACAACAGCAGCAGGUAAUUGUAACAGAACACUCCCUGUCAAAACAAGCGAGAUUUACUACGCCAGUGGAUAAUGAAAUGGAACAGCUCAUGCAAGCAAUAAAGAAAAAGCACUGCCGGAAAGAUGGAAAGGC
Molecule: long non-coding RNA, 945 nt
Filed under: Anser brachyrhynchus (Pink-footed goose)
Lineage: Eukaryota; Metazoa; Chordata; Aves; Anseriformes; Anatidae
Description: lncRNA (ENSABRG00000010462.1)
Source: RNAcentral